AAAUAGACAGAGAGCAAGAGGAGUACUGUCAGCGGGAUUUUUAGAGAGAAAAUCGGCUGGUGAAAGAUUUUACGAUCCUGACAGGAAGGUAGCUUGUGAGUCAAUCAUUUGAACAAUUUUCAGUAGGGUGGUUCGAGUCGUGAUCGUUAUCUCACGUUGAAUGAAGAGGUAAUUGAUUUAUUUGAUCAAUUACAAAUUAGGUGGUACCGCGUAGUAUUUACGUCCUAAAA
This 230-nucleotide non-coding RNA is filed under the name Enterococcus sp. Its description in RNAcentral is "T-box sequence". It matches the Rfam family "T-box leader". From Rfam's summary of the family: Uncharged tRNA acts as the effector for transcription antitermination of genes in the T-box leader family. The record is from RNAcentral. Lineage: Bacteria; Bacillati; Bacillota; Bacilli; Lactobacillales; Enterococcaceae.